Python bivittatus (Burmese python) is the source of this 291-nucleotide non-coding RNA. NCBI's taxonomy places the organism in Eukaryota, Metazoa, Chordata, Lepidosauria, Squamata, Pythonidae. The record is from RefSeq and is a predicted model, not a curated record.
AGUGGUGCGACGUUCAGCGGCAAGCCAGGCGGAAAGUAGGUCAGGUAUAGGGGUUGCUUGUGCCGGGCGUCGUUUUUUUGGCUACGCUGGCGAGCCGCUGUGGGGGGAGGCCACGGACGACACCCCCCUUUUCUAAGCACGAUUAUGAAGAGCCACUGCAAGUCAGAACGCAUAGGUCACAUGUAGAAAGUCACAGAUUCAACUUCUGGCAGAAUCCUGACAAUUGUGUUCACACAUGGAACAUGGAUUAUGUAUGAAAUACGGAAUGUUUAUGACAAAUUGUUGAAUUAG